ACGAAAGCCUGGGGUGACGCCACGUGCUUCUUCACGUGGCUUGAGGACAAUGCCUGGUGCUGUUUGCAGAUGACAAACAGACGAAGAUGGAAGGAAGCACGUAAAGCUGAGGAUACACGAAGAUUUGCUGCCACCUAUAUACUGCUCUUUUCUGGGUUCACUGGGAAAAAAAGGGAGGAAUUCUAGAAUUAAGACAUACAUUUACAGUCACAAUUACUGCUCAACAAUGGAAGCCUGCAGCCUGUGAGUAACAACAGAACUUUUUGCAUAUCGUAAAAGAGAAUGAAGAAGUAAAACAAAUUGAAAG
This is a long non-coding RNA of Rhea pennata, 307 nucleotides long. RefSeq lists it as uncharacterized. NCBI's taxonomy places the organism in Eukaryota, Metazoa, Chordata, Aves, Rheiformes, Rheidae. The transcript is spliced from 3 exons. The record is from RefSeq and is a predicted model, not a curated record.